RNAcentral lists this ribosomal RNA (253 nucleotides) under uncultured bacterium. Its description in RNAcentral is "partial 16S ribosomal RNA". It matches the Rfam family "Bacterial small subunit ribosomal RNA", at positions 524 to 776 of the family's 1533-position model. The record is from RNAcentral.
UACGAAGGGGGCUAGCGUUGUUCGGAAUUACUGGGCGUAAAGGGCGCGUAGGCGGCCUUCUAAGUCAGACGUGAAAUCCCCCGGCUUAACCUGGGAACUGCGUCUGAUACUGGGAGGCUUGAGUAUGGGAGAGGGAUGUAGAAUUCCAGGUGUAGCGGUGAAAUGCGUAGAUAUCUGGAGGAAUACCGGUGGCGAAGGCGGCAUCCUGGACCAUAACUGACGCUGAGGCGCGAAAGCUAGGGGAGCAAACGGG